GAACCGAUAUCGCGAUACUGCACUCCAGCCUGGGCGACAGAGCGAGACUCCCUCUCAAAAAAAAAAAAAAAACUGUUAGAAUGCCUAUUAGCUGCAUGAGGGGAAACAGUAACCAGAAAGUAGAGGACUGGACAACAUCUGGACCAAGGGAUCAAAAUUAACAUCAAUAAGUCCUAGAAUCAGGCGUUUCUUUAAGAGGCCCUACUUCCUCUAAUUGGAUAAUUCUAGAAACCGGUAUUUGAAUCUGAGGUUUAACUAAAGAGAAUACCUUCUACUGAUGUAACAGCAAUGGUAAUUGGUAUAAAGGCAAAAGCAUGUGCAAAGGAGAAAUCACAACAAAGGCCACUUAUUGAAAUAAAACCUAUUAAAAAUGUA
Molecule: long non-coding RNA, 375 nt
Filed under: Homo sapiens (human)
Lineage: Eukaryota; Metazoa; Chordata; Mammalia; Primates; Hominidae
Description: long intergenic non-protein coding RNA 2281
Source: RNAcentral